Polyodon spathula (Mississippi paddlefish) is the source of this 397-nucleotide long non-coding RNA. RefSeq lists it as uncharacterized. NCBI's taxonomy places the organism in Eukaryota, Metazoa, Chordata, Actinopteri, Acipenseriformes, Polyodontidae. The transcript is spliced from 3 exons. The record is from RefSeq and is a predicted model, not a curated record.
AAAGAGCUGUGUUGAAGCACCGUUUGCGCAGAUUUUCUGGGAAACCUGAAAAGAGAAAUAGCAGGGGUGUAUACUUUCAUGUAAUAAAGAUUAUUCUGGAUUGAUGAAAACCCAUCUGACUGGCAACACAAUUGCAGAAGACAUGCCCCUUUCCCUCAUCCAAUCAGCACAGACUGAGGCACGAGCACAUCAUUUGUUGAAUAGCUUCUGUUGUUGUUACUUGCUGUGAGUUGGCUAUUUCAUUUCCAUUUAGAAUGAGUGUUCAUGUUGUACAGAAUGUAUAUCUUUAAGAAGUACAGCACUGUUUUUUCUUACAGUUGACCAGUGUAUGCUUGUGACGGAAAGAUGAGUUCUGGUGAUGAAUCUUCCUCCCGACCUGUGAGGGCGCUAAAGAACG